AUGCUGCUCCAUUGAGUGCUGCACAGAAGUGCCACUUUGUUAGUGUGCCUGUGUACACAGAAAAGAUCGCAAACAUUUUCUAAGUGCAAUGCUACUACUUAAUAGUCAGU
This is a long non-coding RNA of Nanorana parkeri, 110 nucleotides long. RefSeq lists it as uncharacterized. The transcript has 2 exons. The record is from RefSeq and is a predicted model, not a curated record. NCBI's taxonomy places the organism in Eukaryota, Metazoa, Chordata, Amphibia, Anura, Dicroglossidae.